Molecule: long non-coding RNA, 434 nt
Organism: Lontra canadensis (Northern American river otter)
Lineage: Eukaryota; Metazoa; Chordata; Mammalia; Carnivora; Mustelidae
Exons: 3
Source: RefSeq, a predicted model, not a curated record
GCUGACUUCUGCAGUGGCCCAGCCUCUGAGGACCAAAGCCACCAAACCAGUGGGAGGAGGAUGCUUCGAACCCGAGAACCAGGAGAAGCAUGUCAAGAAGGGUGAUGGUCAAUAGUGUCAAAUGACCCGGAGCUUGAAGAAUAUGGAAAGUGAAUGGACAAAUGCACUUUAGACAUGUCUUCGUCAACCACCAGCGGCGCGCGGGGUGGGAGUGCUUGUCACACCUAAGCACCCCAGGAGCCUCUUCAAACUCUCACCACCCCAGCAGCUGAUUCGGGAGCUCGGGAGCUGAGACCCGGGCACGCGCGUUUUCAGAACACUUCAUACAGGAGGUUCUGAAAUGCAUCAUACCCCACACAGUUGAGAAUCACUGAGGUACGUAGGACUGAGUCCUGGAAUUUGCUAUGGUGUGGGAGAAGAUGGCAUGGAAUCGU